UUAGCAUUCUAGCGGGCAUGCCUGUCCGAGCGUCAUUUCAACCCUCAGGGUCCCCGUUCCGGCGGGGAACCUGGUGUUGGGGAUCGGCCCGCCCCGUGCGGCGCCGUCCCCCAAAUUCAGUGGCGGUCUCGCUGCAGCCUCCCCUGCGUAGUAGUUACAACCUCGCAU
Molecule: ribosomal RNA, 168 nt
Filed under: Stachybotrys chartarum
Lineage: Eukaryota; Fungi; Ascomycota; Sordariomycetes; Hypocreales; Stachybotryaceae
Description: 5.8S ribosomal RNA
Source: RNAcentral